AACGAACGCUGGCGGCAUGCCUAACACAUGCAAGUCGAACGAGACCUUCGGGUCUAGUGGCGCACGGGUGCGUAACGCGUGGGAACCUGCCCUUAGGUUCGGAAUAACUCCCCGAAAGGGGUGCUAAUACCGGAUAAUGUCUUCGGACCAAAGAUUUAUCGCCUUUGGAUGGGCCCGCGUUGGAUUAGGUAGUUGGUAGGGUAAAAGCCUACCAAGGCGACGAUCCAUAGCUGGUCUGAGAGGAUGAUCAGCCACACUGGGACUGCGACACGGCCCAGACUCCUACGGGAGGCAGCAGUGGAGAGUAUUGGACACUGGGCGAAAGCCUAAUCCAGCAAUGCCGCGUGAGUGAUGAAGGCCUUAGGGUUGUAAAGCUCUUUUACCCGGGAUGAUAAUGACAGUACCGGGAGAAUAAGCUCCGGCUAACUCCGUG
RNAcentral lists this ribosomal RNA (433 nucleotides) under uncultured bacterium. RNAcentral describes it as "partial 16S ribosomal RNA". It matches the Rfam family "Bacterial small subunit ribosomal RNA", at positions 29 to 507 of the family's 1533-position model. The record is from RNAcentral.